This 496-nucleotide ribosomal RNA is filed under the name uncultured bacterium. Its description in RNAcentral is "partial 16S ribosomal RNA". It matches the Rfam family "Bacterial small subunit ribosomal RNA", at positions 29 to 507 of the family's 1533-position model. The record is from RNAcentral.
AUGAACGCUGGCGGCGUGCCUAAUCCAUGCCAGUCGAUCGAACAGACGAGGAGCUUGCUCCUCUGACGUUAGCGGCGGACGGGUUAGUAACACGUGGAUAACCUACCUAUAAGACUGGGAUAACUUCGGGAAACCGGAGCUAAUACCGGAUAAUAUAUUGAACCGCAUGGUUCAAUAGUGAAAGACGGUUUUGCUGUCACUUAUAUAUGGAUCCGCGCCGCCUUAGCUAGUUGGUAAGGUAACGGCUUACCAAGGCAACGCUGCGUAGCCGACCUGAGAGGGUGAUCGGCCACACUGGAACUGAGACACGGUCCAGACUCCUACGGGAGGCAGCAGUAGGGAAUCUUCCGCAAUGGGCGAAAGCAUGACGGAGCAACGCCGCGUGAGUGAUGAAGGUCUUCGGAUCGUAAAACUCUGUUAUUAGGGAAGAACAAAUAUGUAAGUAACUAUGCACGUCUUGACGGUACCUAAUCAGAAAGCCACGGAUAACUACGUG